This 79-nucleotide small RNA is filed under the name Pseudogulbenkiania sp. NH8B. Its description in RNAcentral is "Xanthomonas sRNA sX9". It matches the Rfam family "Xanthomonas sRNA sX9". Lineage: Bacteria; Pseudomonadati; Pseudomonadota; Betaproteobacteria; Neisseriales; Chromobacteriaceae. The record is from Rfam by way of RNAcentral.
AUGUACUACGUGUACAUGGCGGUUCCUGCGCUCCGGCCGCACUUAACCAGCCUUGGCUCGCUCGCCCACUGGGCUAGGC